GAUGAAGAACGUAGCGAAAUGCGAUACUUGGUGUGAAUUGCAGAAUCCCGUGAACCAUCGAGUCUUUGAACGCAAGUUGCGCCCGAAGCCACUAGGCCGAGGGCAUGCCUGCCUGGGCGUCACACGCCGUUGCCCCCCCAUCUACUCCUUCGGGAUUGCGGGGGGGCGGAUGAUGGCCUCCCGUGCGCCUAGCCGCGCGGUUGGCAUAAAUACCAAGUCCUCGGCGACGCACGCCACGACAAUCGGUGGUUGCGAAACCUCGGUUGCCCGUCGUGUGCGUUCGUCGCGCAUCGAGGGCUCGAAAAAAUGCUCGGCUCCGGCUGGGCUUUCAACGCGACCCCAGGUCAGGCGGGGUUACCCGCUGAAUUUAAGCAUAUCAAUAAGCGGAGGA
This 391-nucleotide unclassified non-coding RNA is filed under the name soil metagenome. Its description in RNAcentral is "partial contains 5.8S ribosomal RNA, internal transcribed spacer 2, and large subunit ribosomal RNA". The stretch from base 1 to 122 matches the Rfam family "5.8S ribosomal RNA", at positions 35 to 154 of the family's 154-position model. The record is from RNAcentral.